This is a long non-coding RNA of Apis cerana (Asiatic honeybee), 1469 nucleotides long. RefSeq lists it as uncharacterized. The record is from RefSeq and is a predicted model, not a curated record. Lineage: Eukaryota; Metazoa; Arthropoda; Insecta; Hymenoptera; Apidae.
GUAGCUGACUAAGCUUACUUCGUAACGGCCAAUGGCCAUUCGUUCUCGACUCUAUCGAGCUUACGCGAACGAUCCUCUCGGUGUCAAGUGGUCAUCUAGCGAGAGUUAGGUGUUUUAAAAGAGGAUAAACUUAAGUGCCGAACAGAGAGCAAGUAGCUAAGUGUCCGUGAUCGAUGACGCGAUGGUUUCAUACGAUCCUCAUUGUGUUCGUUAAAUACGUCGUAAUUUAAAAGUUCGAUUGAAAUCGUCAGAGAAGAUGAAUCCAAGUUAGGAAAAAAUCGUUCAAACGUGAAAGUUGUUAAAAAAAGAUAAUUUUAAAAUAAUUGUAAAUAUAUAUGUUCACACUGUGUGAUAAUGUUAUGUCUAUAAUGUAUAAAGGUAAUAAAAAAAUGAGAUAUAUUAUUUUUUAGAAAAUUAAAAAUAGAUCAGAUACACGUAUACACUUAUCUAAGAAACGAACAAAUGUGAAUGAAAACAGAGAAAAAUAUUUGAAACGAACGUUUCGAAGAAGCACAAUGAUAUAAUAUUUGUUUGACUUUGCAAUGAUCUUGAAAAAAUUUAUGAAGUGUUAUUUUCGAGAUGUUUACAUGUUUCCAGAUAAAUUAUUCGUACUAAAUGCGAUGCUUGGAAAACAACUAAUAUGUCACGUAUGUCAUGCGUGUUAAUGAAAGUAUUAAUUGAAGUAUUAAACAGGAACGUUUCAUUGAUUUUUAAUGAGCUAUAAAAACAGAAAUACGAUAGAAUCUGUAUUAUUUAAAUAUUCCAAUAUUCGAAAGUUAUAAUAAUCGAACAAUUUAUCAACAAACUUCACUUGAUAUUUGCAAUAUUAACAAUGUGAAUGUUUUUUUCUUAAUAUAAUAGAAAUGGGAUUUAAUUUAAAAUUGACAUUAUAAACGCUCAUAUGAUAUAGGCUUUUGAGUGAGAGGAAAGAACAUCUCAUAAUUACAUAAAGAGUUAAAAUUAAAAAAAAAGAAAAUUUUUAAUAAAUUAUUUUUUUGUAGGUAGAUUUUAAAAUUAAUUUCAUUCUUUUAAAUGGAACCAUUUGUUUAAAAACCAUCGAUUUAGGAGAUAUUUAAAUCUAAAUUUAAUCGUUUUAUGUUAUUAAAACCUGAGAAGAUAAUCACUUUUAAUUGACUCGAUACAUAAAACAUAUCUAUUUUUUUUAUUAUGGUGAACAGAUUUAAUUGAUGGUUAAGAAAAACUCAUGAAAGCAAAGCCAAUAAUCCAUAAAAUUUAUAUUCUGAUUUUGAUAAACUAAUAAUAAAAAAAAUUAUUUUCUUUAAUGGCUAUUGCUUUUAAUUAAACAAAACACGAAAUUACGAUAUACGGAUUGAGCAAUAAUAGAUGCGAUCAUUCGGCAUGGAAUGAUGCACAAGGAUGAUAGCUCUUCGACACAAAAUAAAUCAAUAAACACAUUCAAAAUUAUAUUGUUUCGUUUAAAAAAAAUAAAGUUAACCUCGAAAACCUAA